RNAcentral lists this small RNA (348 nucleotides) under uncultured bacterium. RNAcentral describes it as "bacterial SSU rRNA". It matches the Rfam family "Bacterial small subunit ribosomal RNA", at positions 22 to 381 of the family's 1533-position model. The record is from RNAcentral.
GCUCAGAACGAACGCUGGCGGCGUGCCUAACACAUGCAAGUCGAACGAGAAAGUGGGGGCAACUCCAUGAGUAAAGUGGCGUACGGGUGAGUAACACGUGACUAACCUACCUUCGAGUGGGGAAUAACCUCGGGAAACCGGGGCUAAUACCGCAUAACACCGAGAGGUCAAAGCAGUAAUGCGCUUGAAGAGGGGGUCGCGGCUGAUUAGCUAGUUGGUAGGGUAAUGGCCUACCAAGGCGACGAUCGGUAGGUGGUCUGAGAGGACGAUCACCCAGACUGGGACUGAGACACGGCCCAGGAUACCUACGGGAGGCAGCAUUCCGAUCUGNCAUAAAACUCGAGCCAU